AUAUUGGCCAGAGACCGAUAGCGCACAAGUAGAGUGAUCGAAAGAUGAAAAGCACUUUGGAAAGAGAGUUAAACAGUACGUGAAAUUGUUGAAAGGGAAGCGCUUGCAAUCAGACUUGCACUUGGUGUUCAUCAGGGUCUCGUACCCUGUGUACUUCAUCAAGUUCAGGCCAGCAUCAGUUUGAGUGGUUAGAUAAAGGCUUAGAGAAUGUGGCCCUCUUCGGGGGGUGUUAUAGCUCUAGGUGCAAUGUGGCCUACUUGGGCUGAGGACCGCGCUUCGGCUAGGAUGCUGGCGUAAUGGUUGUAAGCGACCCGUCUUGAAACACGGACC
RNAcentral lists this ribosomal RNA (330 nucleotides) under uncultured fungus. RNAcentral describes it as "LSU rRNA". It matches the Rfam family "Eukaryotic large subunit ribosomal RNA", at positions 320 to 667 of the family's 3401-position model. The record is from RNAcentral. Lineage: Eukaryota; Fungi.